UAUCGCAUAAGAAUGAGACACAAAUUUAAUGUAUCAAAUGGAAAUGGUAUGAAUGAAAAUUACUCUGCAUGCAAAUGCGCAGUUACGUUAGAGAAGGAAAGUAGCCGUAGGUCUUAGGUACGUUUUAUUUGCGGUUGCGCAAAAACAAAACAGCUGUUAUUGAUUGUUACUUACAUCGAACGUGUAAAUGGAUUAAUUAAUACGUUCAUCAAUUUUGAGAAGGCAAGGGAUUUAUUGGGUUAUUUUCUGUCGGUCACACGUGACCUUUACAGUUUUUACGUACAUAUUCGGAUUUGCACCUGCUGCGCAAUAUUGUUUAAUAUAAAGCAAGAAAAAGGCCGAUGGAAAUCGAAAGAUGUGCAAGAGGCGCCGGGUCCCCUUAACAAUAAAUUGGAGGUGUACGCUGUCGCUAUAAAAAUAGUUACAGGUUCGUGGGAAUUAAUAAUGGAUAAAGAGUCCAGAGAUAAACCGUUAAUGGAACGAAGCUCAUGUUCUACGACUCUUGUAAGGAACAAGCACAUCGACAAGUUGAUGCUCCUUCGUAAUGGAAAUUGUGUCGAGUUCAAUCGUGAUAUAUCUACUAACACGAUAAGUUAAAUAUGUAAUCUCCAUUGAAUGAGAGAUUUGUAUAUUUACAAGAUGCUAAUACAUGUACCUGUGUAGAAACACGAGCACGUGAGACAUUGUUAGACACGUAUCUCGUUCUGUUUGAUGGGUGCACCGUAGUAUGUAAACGAUGACGUCGCUAACAAAGUUACACAAAGAUUGUCAAAAAAAAUUUGUAUCCUGAUAAUUAAAUGAUUAUCCUAU
Photinus pyralis (common eastern firefly) is the source of this 810-nucleotide long non-coding RNA. RefSeq lists it as uncharacterized. Lineage: Eukaryota; Metazoa; Arthropoda; Insecta; Coleoptera; Lampyridae. The transcript is spliced from 3 exons. The record is from RefSeq and is a predicted model, not a curated record.